Molecule: ribosomal RNA, 460 nt
Filed under: uncultured Nitrospira sp.
Lineage: Bacteria; Pseudomonadati; Nitrospirota; Nitrospiria; Nitrospirales; Nitrospiraceae
Description: bacterial SSU rRNA
Rfam family: Bacterial small subunit ribosomal RNA
Source: RNAcentral
UUUCCUACGGGGGGCAGCAGUAAGGAAUAUUGCGCAAUGGGCGACAGCCUGACGCAGCGACGCCGCGUGGGGGAUGAAGGUCUUCGGAUUGUAAACCCCUUUCGGCAGGGAAGAUGGAACGGGUAACCGUUCGGACGGUACCUGCAGAAGCAGCCACGGCUAACUUCGUGCCAGCAGCCGCGGUAAUACGAAGGUGGCAAGCGUUGUUCGGAUUUACUGGGCGUACAGGGAGCGUAGGCGGUUGGGUAAGCCCUCCGUGAAAUCUCCGGGCCUAACCCGGAAAGUGCGGAGGGGACUGCUCGGCUAGAGGAUGGGAGAGGAGCGCGGAAUUCCCGGUGUAGCGGUGAAAUGCGUAGAGAUCGGGAGGAAGGCCGGUGGCGAAGGCGGCGCUCUGGAACAUUUCUGACGCUGAGGCUCGAAAGCGUGGGGAGCAAACAGGAUUAGAUACCCGUGUAGUCCG